Molecule: non-coding RNA, 2497 nt
Organism: Odocoileus virginianus texanus
Lineage: Eukaryota; Metazoa; Chordata; Mammalia; Artiodactyla; Cervidae
Source: RefSeq, a predicted model, not a curated record
AACCUCUACACUGUUUUGUGCAGUGGCUGUACCAACUUACAUUCCCACCAGCAGUGUAGGAGAGGGAACCAAGCGUUUAGCAUGGGAAUGACUAGCUCAAGGUCACAUAGUAGAGGGGGCUGGGAGAGAAAGAGGGAACAAGUGACAGGUAUUGGGGUUAUAAAAGAACUAGUGAAGUUGAAGUUCAGCUAAAGUUAAGGUAACAAGGAGGUUGGAAGAAGAGGGAAUGAGUUAGAAGGGCCUUCAGAGGUUUUGUAAUCAAGGUCCAAAAAUAUCAAAAUCAGCAGGCAAGUGCCUCAGGCUUUCCCCUUCCCACCACUUCCCAGGGAGCUUUUGUAUUUGCCUGCUCACCCUCUAAGGCCUUUGGUUGUGUUAUUGCUAAUAAUAGCAAAGGAGAAUUGAAAGAUAGGCAGAAAAUCUAGAAAUAGUUAGUAUUAGAAAAAGACUAAGACCCUCGUGAAAGUUGAGGGGCAGAUCUCAGAGAAGAUCCAGGCUCAUGGUAGUUUGGAAAGCAUGGGGGUCUAGGGGUUGAUGCAAGAGUUGGCAAUACUUCAGAGACAGUGGGACAAAGAGGGGAAAGAGGACUGUCCAAAGUGUUUGUGGGUUGGGAAUGUAAUCCCCUUUUCGUGACAUUUCAAGAGACUUCAGUAAAAAUUUAAGUGGUUCAUUAAUAUUCUUUGAAUAUCACACUUGGUUUUCUGUUGAAUGAACAGUAGCCCAACAUCCUAAAGUGUGCACUGAAAAUCACCAUUGCUGAGGGAACUAGAAGGAAAUACACAACACUCAGAAAUGUUGUCAGUAUCAGGAGUAGGAUCUGGAACCCUCUGUCCCAGUCAUGCCCCUCAGCCAGCUUCACUCUUUGCUUUCAUCCUUUCAUCCCUCAGACAAAGGUAAAAAGGAGGAGAUGGUGAUCAGAGAAUGCCCACCUUUGAAACCACUUCUUUCCUAGUAGGGUGAAAAAGGAAUUCUGUAACAGCACCAAUUGCCCACCAAGAAUACACUUGCCUGGCUUUCAGUUCUCAUCUGAAGAAGCCUCUGAGACUUUCAGUGGAACUAGAAAAUUUAAAUGUGUACAAACAGCAUAUAUGGCAUAUCGUUAUGACCUACAGAACAAAAUACACAUACAUAAACACACACACACAAAGGAGAGGCGGAAGAAGACCCAUGUCCUUGGUUUGUGCUGGCAGAGUACCUGAUGAGGGGCUUCAGGACUUAGUAUAUCCAGUACCCCAUUGACAGAAAGGUUAAGGUUAUUCUGCUUUGUGAUAAACAUGCCCCACAGAAUCUUGCUUUCUCUGCCCUUGGUUCCCUUGGCCUGGGUGUUAUAUACCAUAUUUUCCAGGCAGAUCAGAAUAUGCAUUGACAAUCAUUUGCCAAAGAUUACCUGGGUGGCACCUUCUUGUAAGAAUGCAAAUGAUUCUCCUGAAUCCCGCACACGUUGAACGAAGAAUAAACAAACUUGUUGAAAUCAUCUACAUGACCUGGAAUGCUAAAAGCCUUCAGUUUGCUUGCUAUAGUGCAAAAAUAUGAGAAAUAUUUAAUCUUUAAAAAUACACAAUGGAAUCAUAAUUUUGCUGCAGGUUCAAAGAGAGCACAAUAUAACGCAGUGUAUUUAAAAUGUAAUGGCAGUGUAUAUUUUCAAAAUGCAAACAGCAGAGUUUGAUGAAUAGCUAAAGAGCACCAGACCAUAUCUUAUCCUUAUAAAAGUGUCUCCCAUGAAUGUUAACAGUAUCUCUCAGAAAAUUCUUAAUCUGCUCCGUGGCUCAGUGUGUAGACAACAACUCUAUAGAAAUGUAUGUGCCUACCUGGUGUGUGGUCUUUGUCAACUCAAAGUGAAGGUUGUAUAAACGUUGGAUGCCCAGCCUUUUACUUCAGAACAAAGAAACAAAUCUAAAAGUUUAUAGUUUUCCAGACCUCUCAUGUACCUAGUGUUUUUUAAAAUCUAUUCUUGAUACAAUGUUUUUUCUAUUUUUAAAUAAUCACACCAGAUUAUUUAUAGUAUAUCUUUGUCUGUUUUAAUCCAUGUUGAUGUCCAAUUGUAUAUUUAAAAUUCUAUUCAUUUUAUAUCAAAAAUUGAUACAUGUUCUUGUAAAAAAAAACAUGUAUAGGGUGUGUUGAAAUACAGGUAAAAAAGACAUGAAUUUGGGGGGAUUUAUUCUCUAGAAUCUGGAAACAAGGAGCGGAGCAGCACUAGCCAGCAGAGCUCUCUGCUGUGAUGGAAGCCCGUGUCGCCCAGUGUGACGGCCGCUGGCCAGCGCUCGGCCGUUACGAAGCGUUUAAAGUGUCGCUACUUCGGCUGAGGGACUGAAUUUCUUUAAAUUAGAUUGAUCCUUCCCACUCCUUUGCAGUUUCCCAGAUCUUGAGACUCAAGUCUUUGAAUAAAAAGAACAAAGUGGGCUUUGUACAGUUGCUGGUGCCAUUUGUGGCAGAGAAGGACUUUCUCGGAUUGCUUUGGGAUGAUGAAGAGCGUGUCUCUCAUCCAAGAACUGAAACGAUA